Molecule: long non-coding RNA, 3789 nt
Filed under: Mus musculus (house mouse)
Lineage: Eukaryota; Metazoa; Chordata; Mammalia; Rodentia; Muridae
Description: RIKEN cDNA 1500004A13 gene
Source: RNAcentral
AGAAGAGGCGGAGCCUAUCUCUCAUCAGGACCAGUCUGACUGCACCUGCAUCCUUAGCUCAGAGCAUCCCUGGAGCAUCUAAGAGGAAAGCGCAGCUAGCAACCAGGGAUCGUACUGCAGGGGCAAUCGGUCAUGCACCUUCCCCUCCCCUGAUCUGGAGGUCUACAGCCGCGGCCUCGGUACUGACCGAGAUUCCCAAAGUUGUCUGACCUCUGCAAAAGUGUUUCUAUCAACAGCCUCUGAUUACAACAUGGCUGAGAUCACAAAUAUACGCCCCAGCUUUGAUAAAAAAACAUUACACUUUGGUUAUUCGCUCUGGAUGCCAGUGAGAUGUCUCAAUAGACAAACCUGCCCCUGAGCCUGCUGAUGGCCUGAACUUACUUCCUGGGACCCACAUGGUAGAGGGAGAAACAACAGCCAAAGCUGUCCGGUGUACUAUGGUAAGUACUUUACCAAUGAGCUACAUGCCCGGUCUCCUUGAAUGUAUAGAAGACAGAGAGAAUAAAUUACAAAUCUCCUGUGCCCUAAGAAUCACAGCAAACACAUUAAAGACUCGAGUCUUUCACUGCCAAUCUCAACCUGGACUUGACACAGUCAUCUCCUACCAGUCUUCUUGGCGGUUUUAUGAGGGCUGCAGUCAAUGCUGACUUGGGUGAAGUCUUCAAUGAGCCGCAUAGCUCCCAUCCAGUUACAAGGCUGGAAUAAGGUCUGGAACCUGGGGUUGAACUGCUGGUGAAGGGCAAUGGAAUUCUCAGCAAAGGUGCCCAGCUCUUUCUGGGAAGAAAGGACACAAAGGAGUUCUCAGGCCACGAACAUGAAGUUCUCUCAAGGUCGUAGCAAACAGACGGUCCUAUGGCCCACGGUUCCAACAGGAAGUAGGACAGCCACCUCUGACUUUACCACACUGCUCACUUCUGGCUUCAGUGCUAAGCCAAGAAAUAAUGCAAAUACAGACAAAGAGAGAAGCCUUGCCUGCUGCAUCUGCUGCUGAAGCCUGCUCCUCUGUGCUGGGUCGAGGACCAGAGUCUGAUGGGCUGCCUCCUCCUGCGGUUUCAGCUUCUCCACCUCAGGCUGCUGUCUGACUGAGGGUUUCUUCAUCUUCAGCUGCUCCAGCAGCUCCUUCACUGUCCGGUGCCGCUCAUUUAGUAAGUUGGCCAACGGCUCCUCAAACCUGUUCCCAACAAGGAUAGAACAUGCAUUUUCUCCUAGGUCCACAAAACAGCAAAUUCCUUGUAACAACAAAACAUGAACAUCUGUUUUACUUUGAUCAUGAUGGCUCACUAUUCUUGACCCUUAAGCAAAUAUUUCCCUUGACUGUUAGCACUGUAUUCAAAUAAAAGAAGUCUGGUGUUAGAGGAUAGUUUGAGCUCAUAUCUAGAAUGCUUGAAGCCCUGGGUCAAUCUCCAACUAUUCCAAAGAAUAUUCUGAAAUGUUUUCCACCUUACUGUAACACAAUUACUUCUCUGUAUAAAACACACAGAGAAAAGAAAUGAAAUGAAAAUCUAGAAGCAGAGAAACAACAGUGUAGUACAAUGCCACAGGCUAGUGGGACUUCAUCAUCCUUGCAUUGUACUAACACAUACUACUUUAUGAGUUCUUCCAAAUUGAAGGGACUCUAGCUAGCUCCAGUGUGACAAGCAUGGCUCCGGCAGGCCUUGCCCCUCUCUCCCAUUCCUUCCAGCUUGCUAACAACCAUUAGAGCUAGCCAGCAAGGUUGAUUCCUUUACUUGGCUACUUCCUCCUCUUGAGGCUGACAAAGUAUUUAAGUCCAGCAAUCAAAAAGUUCCCUUUAGGUCACCUAAUUAAGAUGCCCACUUAAAAUUAAAACACCUCAUCCUAACACAGGCUUUUCCCUUGUACCUUUAUAAACCACAACUUGCCUAUGGACCCUGUCUGUCUCCUCUCAAUUCAGAGGCAGUCCUUUGUCUUCUGGGAGAAAGACUCCUCCCACUUUUCCCCUGUACCCUUCCCCUUCUCAGCUAUCCUCUAUCUCCUGUCUUUGACCUUUAUCCCUGCUCUCUGUCUCUCUGGGGCAAAUAAAUCUCCUUUGUGCUGAGAACUUUGUCUUGGCGGUCCUUGGCUGACACUCUUCCUAACACCAACAGAACAAAGUAUAUUCCAAAAGUAUAGCACUUGGUCUCUCAGUGCCCUGCUAAGCCAGCCCUCUUCAUUCAUUUCUUUAAAAAACUCAAAGCCAUGAAUGAGGAUGCACUAGAAUGGAGAACACUUGUUUUGUAAGUAUUAGUUCUGGGUUUUAUUGUCAGCAUCAGAAACAAACAAAACAAAAAUAACAAAUAAGUCUAGCAAGACCUUUCAACAAUGUAACAAGAAAGAAAUACACUAAAAUCUAACAGCUCAGAUGAAGAGAGAUGAGUUGUUAGUUCAAACAUUACUAUACAACCACCAUGAAAAUAACUUUUUUUUUUUGGGUUUUUUCUGAGACAGGGUUUCUCUGUGUAUCCCUGGCUGUUCUGGAACUCACUUCAGCCAUUCAAAUUCCUUUCUCAUGCUUCCUGACCGUACCAGAACACCCUGACCAUAACUGCUCCCCUACAUCUUGUUCUGGGUAAAAAUAAAACAAAAGAUAAAGGUGACAAUAUUCAGAAAAAGAGCUGCUCACAUGGCCACGACCAACAAGUUAUCAAAUUCCCAGGAGCCUUCAGUAUUAUAGCAAUAGAUAAAAGAUAUCUUUUUGUCUUAGUCGGGGUUUCUAUUCCUGCACAAACAUCAUGACCAAGAAGCAAGUUGGGGAGGAAAGGGUUUAUUCGGCUUACACUUCCACAUUGCUGUUCAUCACCAAGGAAGUCAGGACUGGAACUCAAGCAGGUCAGAAAGCAGGAGCUAAUGCAGAAGCCAUGGAGGGAUGUUCCUUACUGGCUUGCUUCCCCUGGCUUGCUCAGCCUGCUCUCUUAUAGAACCAAGACUACCAACACAGAGAUGGUCCCACCCACAAGGGGCCUUUCCCCCUUGAUCACUAAUUGAGAAAAUGCCUUACAGUUUGAUCUCAUGGAGGCAUUUCCUCAACUAAAGCUCCUUUCUCUGUGAUAACUCCAGCUGUGUCAAGUUGACACACAAACCAGACAGUACACUUUUGUAAUAGGUUGAAGAUAUUUUCUUUUUUCUUUAGAUUUAUUUACAUUUAUUUCCUGUCUAUGAGUGUUAUGCCAACAUGUAUGUCUGUGUACCACACUGUUGUAUAGAAGUUUUCUCCAAGAUCAAGGCAUCCCAUCAUUCAGGGAAGCUCUUCAUGCAAGUUAGAAAAUAAUUCAAAAAUAGCUUUAGGAAGUCACUGAAAUUGAACAAACUCACUAGACCCCUCCUUCCUAAGAGAAAACAAUCAUAAGGGCUAAGAGUGAGUCUAAGAUAAAUCAAGCUGCAAACAGAAAGGAUCAGCCAAGCAUCCUAAAAAGCAGAAACCAGCAGAGCAGCCUGGAAGAAGGUUAGAUCAACAGGCCCACAUAGAAAGAACACCCCAAACUGUUUAGCUGCCUGUAGUGUGCUCUAGGUUUCCAGAUUUGGUGAGCUGUCACCCACGCUGGGGUGAGUUUUGGGUGAUUCAGCUGUCAUUGAGUCAUCCUACUUCUUUAAUUAACCCAAUAAAACUCACUGGAUGUGACUGGACAGAUGGCUCAGCAGUUAAGAGCAAUGACUGCUCUUCCAGUGGUCCUGAGUUCAAAUCCCAGGAACUACAUGGUAGCUCACAACCGUCUGUAGUGGGAUCCAAUGCCCUCUUCUGGUGUGUCUGAAGACAGCUACAAUGUACUCAUAUACAUAAAAUAAAUAAAUUUC